GGGGGCGAACUGGGUUCGACGGGAAUAAUUGAGGUCUAGGUUGCAUAUCGAGGUUCCAUCUGCUCGUAAAACGGGUGGGCUAAACACAAACGCAGACGAUUAUGCGUACGCUCUAGCCGCAUAGGGCUAGCGUCUCCCUGCUCCAAGCCUGCGGGAACAGACGAGGCGCCGACUAGCAGGCUGGCUGAUCCGAUUUGCCUGAAAUCGGUUAGGCGAGAUCUUUUCAGGCUUGCCCUGAGGUUGACCUGCCGGGUUGGUAGCCGAUGGGCGAGAACUGAUAAUCCGGAAAAAUAUGUAGACGCCUAGGUCGAAUGUUUUCGGACGCGGGUUCAACUCCCGCCGCCUCCACCA
Molecule: non-coding RNA, 351 nt
Organism: Desulfobacteraceae bacterium CG2_30_51_40
Lineage: Bacteria; Pseudomonadati; Thermodesulfobacteriota; Desulfobacteria; Desulfobacterales; Desulfobacteraceae
Source: Rfam